Homo sapiens (human) is the source of this 1300-nucleotide long non-coding RNA. Lineage: Eukaryota; Metazoa; Chordata; Mammalia; Primates; Hominidae. The record is from Ensembl.
GGCGCUGCGUCCUGGCGGCCAGCGGGGGCUUAGUCUAGGCCCGGCAGGGUUUUCUGGAAGACCAGAGGGCCACCAGGUCACCGAGGUGGGAAGUGAAGAGAGGUUCGACGCUGCCUCAGGCCUGGGCCUGGCCGGUGGGAGACACAGCAAGGACUCUGGGAGCCUGCAGAGCAGAGGCCGCCGCGGGGCCGGGCCCCCGUCUCCUCCUCAGGUCCAAGACCAGAGGGUCUGCAGGGCCCCAGAGCAGCUGGCCGCGCUCCGCUUCCCACCGCGCUCUCUGCUGGAACUCAUGUGGUCUAGGGGUCAGAAAUCUGCAAUCAGUUUCGGUGGACCAAAAUGAAAAUGUCAAACAGGGUGUCUGACACCCUCCAGAAGCACCAGAGGAGAAGCAGCUUUCCUUGGCCUUCCCAGCCAAAUCUCCCUCUGCCUCUCUCCCCUGGUGACGACAAUGGCUGGGGUCUUGACUUGCCAAGGUAACUCGUUGGGGAGCAGAGAGUGGGAUCCGCAGUGUUCUGGUGGCUGUUGGGAUCUGGGCGCGAGGAAGGAGAGUGGCUCUCAUGAUUCUCUGCAUUCUCAGUGCAGCGUGGCCCGUACUGGUCACCUGGGUAUAGCUUUACUGAAUUUCGCAGAUCUGGAAACGGAGAAGGGACUGGAUCUCCAAACUUGGACUGCCUUGGACUGACCCUGGCCUGGAAGGUGUGGGCUCAGGACUCCGAGCUCAAGUCAGUCUGUUCCCCCAACCCCUAACCCACUGCAUCCGGGUGAGGAGUUGGGCCCGAGCGCCACAGCGCAGAUAGGGUUGUUAGGAGCGAAAGACUGGAGACCCAGGGACUGUGGGGCUGGGCUGGUGGGGCCACUGCUACCGACUAAGCAGUACGGGCCGCCUGGAAGACCGAAGGCGGAGUUCGCUGAUGCGGAAGCCAAGGCACAGGGCAAUAAGGAUCCGCGCCAUUUCUUGUGAUGUCACCUGAAGCCUUGGCGGGUAGCUGCCUCUCAUCCAUUCGGAGGACAGGGCUCCAGCCACCGGCAGCUCUGAAAGAGUUUGAAGAAUUUAUUGUUCACAGAUGGUAUUUAAAUGGACUUAUUUCUAAAAGUCACAUUCCUUUAUUACUUAUUUGUUAUUAGAAGUACCCAUUUUCAUAUGUGUUUAAAACUAUUUGUGUCUCAAAUUCUCAGGAGAUUGAUGCAUCCCAGUUUACUCUUUUUGGCAUAUGUUUUUACUCAUAAAUUAGGUUAAAUUUCAUACUUGUUUUAUAAAAUUUAGUUAUUUGGUUACAUUAAAAUAUUUGUAUCCAGAUAA